This 421-nucleotide ribosomal RNA is filed under the name uncultured bacterium. Its description in RNAcentral is "partial 16S ribosomal RNA". It matches the Rfam family "Bacterial small subunit ribosomal RNA", at positions 359 to 773 of the family's 1533-position model. The record is from RNAcentral.
UAUAUUGGAUAAUGGGCGAAAGCCUGAUCCAGCCAUGUUGCUUGUGUGAAGAAUGACUUCGUAUUGUAAAGUAUGUCAUUUUGCGUGUAAGGGCUUUAUGCUAAUACCCUGACGUUUUUACGCUAUCAUCAGUAUAAUCAGCGUCUAACUUUGUGCUAGCAGCCGCGGUAAUACGAAGGGUGCAAGCGUUAAUCGGAAUUACUGGGCGUAAAGCGCGCAGAGGUGGUUUGUUAAGUUGGAAGUGAAAGCCCCGGGCUCAACCUGAGAACUGCUUUCAAAACUGGCAAGCUAGAGUAUGGCAGAGGGUGGUGAAAUUUCCUGUGUAGCGGUGAAAUGCGUAGAUAUAGGAAAGAACACCAGUGGCGAAGGCGACCACCUGGGCUAAUACUGACACUGAGGUGCGAAAGCGUGGGAAGCAAAC